UGGCGGACGGGUGAGUAAUGUCUGGGAAACUGCCUGAUGGAGGGGGAUAACUACUGGAAACGGUAGCUAAUACCGCAUAACGUCGCAAGACCAAAGAGGGGGACCUUCGGGCCUCUUGCCAUCGGAUGUGCCCAGAUGGGAUUAGCUAGUAGGUGGGGUAACGGCUCACCUAGGCGACGAUCCCUAGCUGGUCUGAGAGGAUAACCAGCCACACUGGAACUGAGACACGGUCCAGACUCCUACGGGAGGCAGCAUG
RNAcentral lists this ribosomal RNA (256 nucleotides) under uncultured bacterium. Its description in RNAcentral is "partial 16S ribosomal RNA". It matches the Rfam family "Bacterial small subunit ribosomal RNA", at positions 96 to 353 of the family's 1533-position model. The record is from RNAcentral.